RNAcentral lists this ribosomal RNA (253 nucleotides) under uncultured bacterium. RNAcentral's name for it is "partial 16S ribosomal RNA". It matches the Rfam family "Bacterial small subunit ribosomal RNA", at positions 524 to 776 of the family's 1533-position model. The record is from RNAcentral.
UACGUAGGGGGCAAGCGUUGUCCGGAAUCAUUGGGCGUAAAGCGCGUGUAGGCGGCUUGGUAAGUCUGGUGUGAAACCUCGGGGCUCAACCCCGAGCCUGCACUGGAUACUGCCUCGCUCGAGUCCGGGAGGGGAGAGCGGAAUUCCUAGUGUAGCGGUGAAAUGCGCAGAUAUUAGGAAGAACACCGGUGGCGAAGGCGGCAGCCUGGCCUGUAAAUGACGCUGAGACGCGAAAGCGUGGGGAGCGAACCGG